This 1862-nucleotide ribosomal RNA is filed under the name Candidatus Hodgkinia cicadicola. RNAcentral describes it as "bacterial LSU rRNA". It matches the Rfam family "Bacterial large subunit ribosomal RNA", at positions 958 to 2925 of the family's 2925-position model. The record is from RNAcentral. Lineage: Bacteria; Pseudomonadati; Pseudomonadota; Alphaproteobacteria; Hyphomicrobiales.
GAAUACUAUUGUAUUUUAUCUAGCGGUCGCACUAUGAGCGCUAACGUCCAUAGUGGAGAGGGAAACAACCCAGACUUCAAGAUAAGGCCCUUAAAUUCAAGCUAAGUGUGAAAGGUUGUGUGCGCCCUAUGACAAUUGGGAUGUAGGCUCAGAAGCAGCCAUCAUUUAAAGAUAGCGUAACAGCUCACUAAUCUGAGGGCGCCUAGCACCGAAAAUGUAUCGGGACUAAAGCUUGAUGCCGAAGCUGAAGGUGGUGCCAAAUCUUCGGCACUGCGGUAGCAGAGCGUUCCAUAGGCCGUUGAAGAUCUGCUAUGAGGUAGAUUUGAGGCAUUGGAAGCGAUAAUGUUGACAUGAGUAAUUAAAAUGAAAGUGGAAACCUUUCACGCUGAAAGACUAAGGCCUCCUAUUUAAAGUAAUCUGAAUAGGGCUAGCCGGCUCCUAAGGCCAAGCGAAACCGCGUAACCGAUGGUAAUCACGUUAAUAUUCGUGAGCCAGGCUGUAGAUGACUUAGUGAAUUGUUAUGUCAAACUUGAAUGGAUUUAAUUUGGCAUUAUAUUCGCUAACAAGAAAUAGUCUGUGGUUUUAAUGGCCGUACCGUAAACCGAAACAGGUGGUCUGGUAGAACAUACUAAGGCGAAGAGCUAAUUAUGCUGAAGGAACUCGGCAAACUGCAUGUGUAACCUCGGGAUAAGCAUGGCCAUUGUCUGGGCAACCUGAUAUUGGCAUAAUACAAAUGGAGGGAGCGACUGUUUAUCAAAAACACAGGACUCUGCUAAAUUGUAAGAUGAUGUAUAGAGUCUGACGCCUGCCCAGUGCUGACAAGUGAACUGUUGAAUGUAUUCUAGCGUUCAAAUAUAAGCCUCAGUAAACGGCGGCCGUAACUAUAACGGUCCAAAGGUAGCGAAACCCCUUGUCGGGUAAGUUCCGACCUGCAUGAAUGGCGUAACGACUUCCUCGCUGUCUCCAGCAUAAGCUCAAUGAAAUUGAAUUCCCCGUGAAGAUGCGGGGUACCUACGGCAAGACGGAAAGACCCCGUGCACCUUCACUAUAGCCUUGUAUUGCUGUAUUUUUAUUAAAGCCAUAUAGCGUAAAUGAUAAGCAAUGAAUGUUAAGCGCUAGUUUAACCUGAGCUGUUAAUGAAACAUCGUUUGGCUAAUAAAUAUCGUCUUAUUAUAUUCAUGUCAAUCUUGAUAUAAAACCGUGCAAGGCAGGUAGUUUGACUGGGGCGGUCGCCUCCCAAAGAGUAACGGAGGCGUGCAAAGGUAAACUCAAAACGGUUGGAAAUCGUUUGCAGAGCGCAAUGGCAUAUGUUUGCCUGACUGUGAGACAUACAUGUCAAGCAGAGACGUAAGUCGGCCAUAGUGACCAGAUAGUACCAUGUGGAAGGGCUAUCGAUUAACGGAUAAAAGGUACGCCGGGGAUAACAGGCUAAUAAUUCCUAAGAGUUCUUAUCGAUGGAAUUGCUUGGCACCUCGAUGUCGACUCAUCGCAUCCUGGGGCUGAAGCAGGUCCCAAGGGUAUGGCUGUUCGCCAUUUAAAGCGGUACGUGAGUUGGGUUCAGAACGUCGCAAGACAGUUCGGUCCCUAUCUGCCGUGGGUGUGUAAGAAUAUUGACAAGACCUGUCUCUAGUACGAGAGGACUGAGAUGGACAUACCAAUGGUGUUCCUGUUGUCUUGCCAAAGGCAUAGCAGGGUAGCUAAGUAUGGAAUAGAUAACUACUGAAAGCAUCUGAAGUAGGAAACUAGCUUGGAAAAAUAUUCUAUUUAAAGAUAGCGAUAGACUAUCGCUUUGAUAGGCUAGAUGUGGAAAUAUGGUAACAUAUGCAGCUUACUAGUACUAAUUAUUCUUUUAAAAAAGUGAU